GCAUAUUAAUAAGAGUAUACGAAGGAUGGCUUGACAGAACAUGCCGACGAAGGACGUAGUAGCCUGCGAAAAGCUUCGGGGAGGUGGCAAACAACCUUUGAUCCGAAGAUAUCCGAAUGGGGCAACCCAAUGCGGUUCAUACCGCAUUACUUUGCAAUCAAUACAUAGUUGCAAGGAGGGCACCUGGUGAAGUGAAACAUCUCAGUAGCCAGAGGAAAAGAAAAAACAAUUUCGUUUAACGUUUUCAUGCGGCCAGUCGGGUUUACCCGACAGCACGUCGUAUGGAAACGCGAAACGAAUAGAUUCCCUUAGUAGUGGCGAGCGAAAAGGGAACAGCUCAAACCUCUCUCGUGAAGUGUUUGUAAGCAUGGAGUCGCAAGACUGUGUGUGAAUGGAUGCGAAAGAUUGAAGUCGUUGCGAGAGAUAGGUGUUGUAAGACGGUAGUGUCGUUUUCUUCAAAAAACGGAUAAUGAAAUCCAUGUAAUAUAUAGGGGAAGUGACUGGAACGUCACACCAUAGAAGGUGAAAGUCCUGUACGCGAAAUAUAUUACGUCAUUAUGAUUACUGUUCUUGAGUACUACGGGACUCGUGAAAUCCUGUAGGAAUCUGCCGGGACUAUCUGGCAAAGCUAAAUACAUGUUCUGAUCGAUAGUGUACAAGUACCGUGAGGGAAAGCUGAAAAGCACCCCGGAAGGGGAAUGAAAUAGUAUCUGAAAUCGUAUACUUACAAGGAGUCAGCGCCCCUCGAAGCCGCAAGGCGGAGAGUGGGUCAUGGCGUUCCUAUUGAAGAAUGAGCCAACGAGUGUGUUGUGCGUCGCUUGGUUAAGUCCUCCGGGACGAAGCCAUAGUGAAAGCGAGCGUUAAUCCGCGAAAUAUUGGUGGCGCGCACAUAACCCGAAACCGGGUGACCUAUCCAUGACCAGGCUGAAGCGAAUGUAACAGUUCGUGGAGGGCCGAACCCACGUGCCGUGCAAAACACGGGGAUGAGUUGUGGAUAGCGGAGAAAUUCCAAUCGAACUCGGUAAUAGCUGGUUCUCUCCGAGAUAGCUUUUGGGCUAGCGUCGGUAAAUAAUGUGUUGGGGGUAGAGCACUGAAUCGAGUUUGCGCCUUCGGGUAGCGACUCUAAUCAAACUCCGAAUACCAACAUGUGUUCCCGGCAGUCAGACGAUGGGGGCUAAGCUCCAUACGUCGAAAGGGAAACAGCCCAGAUCUCAAGCUAAGGCCCCAAAAUCAUCAUUAAGUGUAAAAGGUGGUGGAAAGACUUAAACAACCAGGAGGUUGGCUUAGAAGCAGCCAUCCUUUAAAGAUAGCGUAAUAGCUCACUGGUCAAGUUUUUCUGCGCCGAAAAUGUACCGGGGCUAAAUGAUGUGCCGAAGCUGAGGGUUUAACAUUUUUAAAUGUUAAGCGGUAGGAGAGCAUUCGUAUUGCGCUGAAGCCAAAGGGGUGACCCAUGGUGGAGCGAUGCGAAGGGAGAAUGUUGGCAUGAGUAGCAAAAAGACGGGUGAGAACCCCGUCCGCCGUAAACUUAAGGGUUCCUGGGCAACGCAAAUCGUCCCAGGGUUAGUCGGGUGCUAAGGCGAGGCUGAAAGGCGUAGUCGAUGCAUAGCAGGUUAAUAUUCCUGCACUUUUUAUCACACUGAAGCGGGGACGCUUCGUGAAAUUUCCCGCGUCCUAUGGCUAUGACGUUGGGCGUAUUUAGGCGCGUGGCAGGCAAAUCCACCACGCUUGGUUUAAUCCAGAGCACGAAUAUGAUCGCAAGUUUUCUGGCAACAGGAAACAAGGGGAAAGAACACGGAGCCAAGAAAAGCCGCUAAGGCUAAUGUGAUAGAGACCCGUACCGUAAACCGACACAGGUGAGUGGGUGCGUAAUGCACUAAGGCGUACGAGAGAAACAUUGUUUAGGAACUCGGCAAAACAACGGCCGUAACUUCGGGAUAAGGCCUGGUUGCCCCUGUGAGGGGGCGACCCGCAGCGAAAGACUCCAAGCGACUGUUUACCAAAAACACAGGUCCCUGCAAAACUGCAAAGUGAAGUAUAGGGGCUGAUGCCUGGCCAGUGUCCGAACGUUAAGGAAGGGGGUUAGAUCCUUCGGGGUCAAAGCUUUCGACUGAAGCGCGGAUGAACGCCGGCGAUAACUAUAAUCGUCCUAAGGUGAAAUAAAAGCUGCCUUAGUGAGGUGAAUGACCUCUCAUUAUCGAACUGUGAUGCCUCACAGACGUAGAUAAAGAAAAAUUUGGCUAUAUGCUGGAACACCUCGUUCACUCUAUGGUAAAAUAUAACCAUAGUAUGAUAAAAAAACGAGACAAUCAGCAGGAAAGACUAGAAAUGGCGUGGUGGAUUUGCGGAUUUGUUGACGGAGAGGGUUGCUUCUCAGUCAGUUUGAUUCGAAACAAAACCACAAGCCUUGGAUGGCAGGUGUUUCCUGAGUUUGUUGUGACACAAGGUAUGAAAAGUCGAUCAAGUCUGGAACUCAUUCGUGAGUAUUUCGGAUGCGGUCAGAUUUAUCAGAACACUCGUCAUGAUAAUCACAGAGAACCAUUGCUAAAGUAUUGUGUAAGAUCGCAAGAAGAUCUUCGAGAGAAGAUUAUUCCGUUCUUCCAAAAAUACUCUUUGCAAACUUCAAAGAAAAAUGAUUUUGAACUCUUUGCUCAGCUCCUUCAAAUGAUGAAGGAAGGAACGCACAAGAAUCAUCAAGGUCAGAAAGAAAUUGCAAAGAUUAUCCAAUUGAUGAAUCGAAAAGUUCCAUCAAAAUUUCUGGAAUCCUCAGAGACUAUACGCCAGACUUCGAAACCUUCGAAGAAGAUAGAGUCCGACCUGCAUGGUGACAUGCAGAACGUGGCAGAAAUGACUACGUCGAUCAAUGGAUCGUAACAACAAAGAGCGAAAUUCCUUGACGGGUAAGUUCCGUCCUGCACGAAUGGCAUAACGACUUGGAGACUCUCUCAACAAUGUACUCGGCGAAAUUGCAAUGUGAGUGAAGAUGCUCACUUCCCGUGGUAAGACGAAAAGACCCCGUGAA
This 3019-nucleotide ribosomal RNA is filed under the name Candidatus Uhrbacteria bacterium RIFCSPHIGHO2_12_FULL_47_12. RNAcentral describes it as "bacterial LSU rRNA". It matches the Rfam family "Bacterial large subunit ribosomal RNA", at positions 1 to 2097 of the family's 2925-position model. The record is from RNAcentral. Lineage: Bacteria; Candidatus Uhriibacteriota.